UAAAUACCGUAAUAGAAAAAUAGAUGGGCAACAGAAUGAAAAAUCUGCAGAAUUGCCUGUCCUAUCAAUAAUAUUUUGUGGGCUGUCAUCUUGCUGAGACAGAAUGACUCUAACGAGAGCAAACGGAUUACUUAAAAAAGCCACUUCUUUGGCUCUUCCCUGAAGGCUCGGGUGGUAAGUGUCUUGGAUGAAGUGGGACUGAGCCAAGUUGAACUUGGUUGCGAACAGGAUGAACAGCACAGGCACAGGGAGUUGGGGUGACCCAUUUGUAUUUGAGUUGAGUUUAUUAUUUGAGUUCAGUUCAUUGUCACGUGUACCGAGGUACUGUAGAUGACAUGUGCAUGUUCCUUUAAUAUAGUGACCUCACCACUACUAACCACUCCCCAUAUCAGAAGUAUAAUUGCAACCUCCCCACCCAUUGAUCCCUCUCUAGCUCCGGUGACAGACCACGUACAGCUAGGGCAGCAACGGUUAUGUGAUAUCAAUAAAAGUUGUAAAGACACAGCAUGUUCAUGACUCCUCUUUACAGCAUGGAAACAGGACCUUCGGACCAUUGAAUCCACACCGACCACAUCUGUUCAUACUAGUGUUAAAGAGGGAACUGCAGAUGCUGGAGAAUCGAAGGUUACACAGAAAAGCUGGAGAAACUCAGCGGGUGCAGCAGCAUCUAUGGAGCGAAGGAAAUAGGCAACGUUUCGGGCCGAAACCCUUCUUCAGAACUGUUCAUACUAGUUCUUUGUUAUCCUCCCUCUGGAAGGUGACUCCGGAUUGUCAAAGCUGCCACAGCCAGACAUAAAAACAGUUUUUAUCCACGAGUAGUUGCUCUACUCAACAGCCAAAAAUCUGUAACCUCCCUUUGAUGUGGUAUUUUGUUGGUUCACAUGCUUGACCAAUGGUGUUUAAUCAUUAAUGUUUUAUUAUUAUUAAUGUUUAGUGUUGUCUGAGUCAUUCGUAACUGUCACUGUAUGUCAUGUUGUUACUUGUGGGCGGAGCACCAAGGCAAAUUCCUUGUAUGUGAAUACUUGGCCACUAAACUUACUUACUUACUUA
Long non-coding RNA from Leucoraja erinaceus (little skate), 1050 nucleotides. RefSeq lists it as uncharacterized. Lineage: Eukaryota; Metazoa; Chordata; Chondrichthyes; Rajiformes; Rajidae. The record is from RefSeq and is a predicted model, not a curated record. The transcript is spliced from 2 exons.